AACACACAAACACAAAGUUAGAGAGCUAUGCUGGCCCCAGAGGACCUAACUGUCACUUUGAAGUUUCAUCAUCCAUAAAGUUUACCAUGAUUAAACUUACGAUAGGUAAGGGUACCUACAAUAGGUACCCUUACCUAUCGUAAGUUAUUAACGAUAGGUAACAAAUGUAAUUUGAUGUUUUGCAUCAUUAAAAAACUAUUAACAAAUAGUACUUAGUGUUACUGAGUGUUACUAGCGUUAGCAAAUGAUAAAAAGCAUCAAGGACCUUUGGUUAAUACAGACUGAUUGGGUUCUAUCUAUUGAUUAACACACACUAGAGGUGUGUUAAUCAAUCGGCCACCGAUCAUAAUCGGCCGAGUUCUGUGAAAAAGUGUAUGAUCGGUGAUACCGACACCUGUAUCUCAUUCGCAGCAUGCAUGUGCAGCCGUCUCCUCUUUCCUUCACACUGCGCAAACGUGCAAGUCCGAACCCCCACAAUGUUGGAAAAGUCUAGAAUUGUUCCCCCCCCCAAAGAAAUCAUGAAAGAAACCCUUGUAUUUACACAAUAUCAAUAUAAAAAAGGCAAUAGAAACUAAGAAUGAAGUAAAUCUGCCAUUCAUCUAAGAAAAA
Long non-coding RNA from Poecilia latipinna (sailfin molly), 609 nucleotides. RefSeq lists it as uncharacterized. The record is from RefSeq and is a predicted model, not a curated record. NCBI's taxonomy places the organism in Eukaryota, Metazoa, Chordata, Actinopteri, Cyprinodontiformes, Poeciliidae. The transcript is spliced from 2 exons.